AUUGAACGCUGGCGGCAGGCCUAACACAUGCAAGUCGAGCGGAUGAAGGGAGCUUGCUCCUGGAUUCAGCGGCGGACGGGUGAGCAAUGCCUAGGAAUCUGCCUGGUAGUGGGGGAUAACGUCCGGAAACGGGCGCUAAUACCGCAUACGUCCUGAGGGAGAAAGUGGGGGAUCUUCGGACCUCACGCUAUCAGAUGAGCCUAGGUCGGAUUAGCUAGUUGGUGGGGUAAAGGCCUACCAAGGCGACGAUCCGUAACUGGUCUGAGAGGAUGAUCAGUCACACUGGAACUGAGACACGGUCCAGACUCCUACGGGAGGCAGCAGUGGGGAAUAUUGGACAAUUGGCGAAAGCCUGAUCCAGCCAUGCCGCGUGUGUGAAGAAGGUCUUCGGAUUGUAAAGCACUUUAAGUUGGGAGGAAGGGCAGUAAGUUAAUACCUUGCUGUUUUGACGUUACCAACAGAAUAAGCACCGGCUAACUUCGUG
Molecule: ribosomal RNA, 484 nt
Filed under: uncultured bacterium
Lineage: Bacteria
Description: partial 16S ribosomal RNA
Rfam family: Bacterial small subunit ribosomal RNA
Source: RNAcentral